Molecule: non-coding RNA, 231 nt
Organism: Heterocephalus glaber (naked mole-rat)
Lineage: Eukaryota; Metazoa; Chordata; Mammalia; Rodentia; Bathyergidae
Source: RefSeq, a predicted model, not a curated record
AGCACAGGCCUUCCCCGAGAGCAGAGUGGCGGAAGUGUUAUUUCUCAGCGCCUCAAUUUCCCCAUCUAGAAAAUGGCGCUACAGGAACCUGAUAGCAUGGUGAUACUUUUGAAGAUCAUUGCCAAAACCAGCCCCAAAGAGAAAGAAUGAACUGACAGCAGUUCCUCCAACUAUUUUGCAGGUAACCAAGACUGGCUGUGACUCUUUGCUGAAGGCCAGAGAUAUCACCAG